GAUGAACGCUGGCGGCGUGCCUAAUACAUGCAAGUCGAGCGAACGGACGAGAAGCUUGCUUUUCUGAUGUUAGCGGCGGACGGGUGAGUAACACGUGGAUAACCUACCUAUAAGACUGGGAUAACUUCGGGAAACCGGAGCUAAUACCGGAUAAUAUUUUGAACCGCAUGGUUCAAAAGUGAAAGACGGUCUUGCUGUCACUUAUAGAUGGAUCCGCGCUGCAUUAGCUAGUUGGUAAGGUAACGGCUUACCAAGGCAACGAUGCAUAGCCGACCUGAGAGGGUGAUCGGCCACACUGGAACUGAGACACGGUCCAGACUCCUACGGGAGGCAGCAGUAGGGAAUCUUCCGCAAUGGGCGAAAGCCUGACGGAGCAACGCCGCGUGAGUGAUGAAGGUGUUCGGAUCGUAAAACUCUGUUAUUAGGGAAGAACAAAUGUGUAAGUAACUGUGCACAUCUGGACGGUACCUAAUCAGAAAGCCACGGCUAACUACGUG
This 497-nucleotide ribosomal RNA is filed under the name uncultured bacterium. RNAcentral describes it as "partial 16S ribosomal RNA". It matches the Rfam family "Bacterial small subunit ribosomal RNA", at positions 28 to 507 of the family's 1533-position model. The record is from RNAcentral.